AGAGUUUGAUCAUGGCUCAGGACGAACGCUGGCGGCGUGCCUAACACAUGCAAGUCAUACGGAUACAGAAGUCAGAAGAGAGAGGUUGUUUGACUUCCGACUUCUAACUUCUGUUAUCAGUGGCGCACGGGUGAGUAACGCGUGGGAAUCUACCCGGUAGUGGGGGAUAACCCCUCGAAAGGGGGGCUAAUACCGCAUAAGUCCUACGGGGUAAAGAUGGUCUCUUAGAGGCUAUCGCUUCCGGAUGAGCCCGCGUCCUAUUAGCUAGUUGGUGAGGUAAUGGCUUACCAAGGCCACGAUGGGUAGCCGGUCUGAGAGGAUGAACGGCCACACUGGGACUGAGACACGGCCCAGACUCCUACGGGAGGCAGCAGUGGGGAAUUUUGCGCAAUGGGGGAAACCCUGACGCAGCAACGCCGCGUGGAUGAUGAAGGCCUUCGGGUUGUAAAGUCCUGUUCUGGGGGAAGAAACGGUAGGAAGCCAAUACCUUCCUGCCCUGACGGUACCCCAGCAGAAAGCUCCGGCCAAUUAUGUGCCAGCAGCCGCGGUAAUACAUAAGGAGCAAGCGUUGUCCGGAAUUAUUGGGCGUAAAGAGCUCGUAGACGGUUCGGAAAGUCAGCUGUGAAAUCACCGGGCUCAACCUGGUAGGGUCAGUUGAGACUUCCGAACUUGAGGGUAGAAGAGGAAAGUGGAAUUCCCGGUGUAGCGGUGAAAUGCGUAGAUGUCGGGAGGAACACCAGUGGCGAAGGCGGCUUUCUGGUCUACCCCUGACGUUGAGGAGCGAAAGCCAGGGGAGCAAGCGGGAUUAGAUACCCCGGUAGUCCUGGCCCUAAACGAUGGAUACUAGGUGUAGGAGGUAUCGACCCCUUCUGUGCCGCAGUUAACACAUUAAGUAUCCCGCCUGGGGAGUACGGUCGCAAGGCUGAACUCAAAUGAAUUGACGG
RNAcentral lists this ribosomal RNA (944 nucleotides) under candidate division JS1 bacterium enrichment culture clone L35B_129. Its description in RNAcentral is "bacterial SSU rRNA". It matches the Rfam family "Bacterial small subunit ribosomal RNA", at positions 8 to 916 of the family's 1533-position model. The record is from RNAcentral. Lineage: Bacteria; Pseudomonadati; Atribacterota.